GGCGGCGUGGAUAAGACAUGCAAGUCGAACGGGAACUUCAGUUGUAGCAAUACAGUUGAAGUUCUAGUGGCGAACGGGUGCGUAACACGUGGGCAAUCUGCCGAGAAGUGGGGGAUAGCUCGCCGAAAGGCGAAUUAAUACCGCAUGUGAUUAGUUAAGACAUCUUAGCGACAUCAAAGCCGGGGCAACCUGGCGCUUUUUGAGGAGCCCGCGGCCUAUCAGCUAGUUGGUGAGGUAACGGCUCACCAAGGCUAUGACGGGUAGCUGGUCUGAGAGGACGACCAGUCACACUGGAACUGAGACACGGUCCAGACACCUACGGGUGGCAGCAGUCGAGAAUUUUUGACAAUGGGGGAAACCCUGAUCGAGCGACGCCGCGUGGAGGAUGAAGGUCUUCGGGUUGUAAACUCCUGUCAUUUGAGAACAAGGCGCCGGUAUUAACUGUACCGGCGUUGAUAGUAUCAGAAGA
RNAcentral lists this ribosomal RNA (469 nucleotides) under uncultured Verrucomicrobiota bacterium. Its description in RNAcentral is "bacterial SSU rRNA". It matches the Rfam family "Bacterial small subunit ribosomal RNA", at positions 38 to 485 of the family's 1533-position model. The record is from RNAcentral. Lineage: Bacteria; Pseudomonadati; Verrucomicrobiota.